GGGCGGGUGGCUUAGCCUGGUUAACCGUAAGGUUUUUAGCGCACGACUGAUAAUCGUGAUGUCGGGAGUUCAAAUCUCCUCCUGCCCA
RNAcentral lists this transfer RNA (88 nucleotides) under Candidatus Woesearchaeota archaeon. Its description in RNAcentral is "tRNA-Ile". It matches the Rfam family "tRNA". Rfam says of the family: Transfer RNA (tRNA) molecules are approximately 80 nucleotides in length. Their secondary structure includes four short double-helical elements and three loops (D, anti-codon, and T loops). The record is from RNAcentral. Lineage: Archaea; Nanobdellati; Candidatus Woesearchaeota.